Molecule: ribosomal RNA, 435 nt
Filed under: uncultured bacterium
Lineage: Bacteria
Description: partial 16S ribosomal RNA
Rfam family: Bacterial small subunit ribosomal RNA
Source: RNAcentral
GAUGAACGCUGGCGGUAUGCUUAACACAUGCAAGUCGAACGGACUCUUCGGAGUUAGUGGCGGACGGGUGAGUAACGCGUGAGAAUCUGGCUUUGGGUUCGGGACAACCACUGGAAACGGAGGCUAAUACCGGAUGUGCCGAGAGGUAAAAGAGAAAUUGCCUGAAGAUGAGCUCGCGUCUGAUUAGCUAGUUGGUGAGGUAAAGGCUCACCAAGGCAGCGAUCAGUAGCUGGUCUGAGGGGAUGACCAGCCACACGGGGACUGAGACACGGCCGACUCUCACACGGGGGGGAGCAGUGGGAAAUUUUACGAAGUGGGCAAGAGCCUGACGGAGCAAUACCGCGUGAGAGAAGAAGGCUCUUGGGUUGUAAACCUCUUUUCUUAGGGAAGAACAAAAUGACGGUACCUAAGGAAUAAGCACCGGCUAACUCCGUG